Maylandia zebra (zebra mbuna) is the source of this 411-nucleotide non-coding RNA. The record is from RefSeq and is a predicted model, not a curated record. Lineage: Eukaryota; Metazoa; Chordata; Actinopteri; Cichliformes; Cichlidae.
GGUGAACAGACAUGCUGAGCCUCCUGGCUUUGGGCUGGAACAAAAGGAAAGUGGAACAACUGGGCCGCACUUUGAGCCAGAGAUAUCUAAAGAUCAUAAGGAUCUUUAGAGAACAAGUGGAGAGCCUGAAUGCGAGCAGAAAUGAGCUGGGUGUGGAUGACGACACACUGCAGCAAUGGGCUGAAGAAACGGAUCAAACUGAUGGCAGCCUUGGAGCGUUGCAGGCACGAGUAGAGCAGCUUGUCGUCAUCAUCAGAGUGCGAACACAAAGUCUUUACAGACAAAAUGGUGUCACAGUUUCUUUGAAACGGACCGUUUGAUGCUCAGUUUGUACAGCUUGUACAGCUACUUUGUAAACAGAAUAAAAUCAGAUCCAGAUAGCAACAAGAGGCGACACAGAAUUCACAAGGU